CUAAGCCAUGCGAGUCUUUGUAGUAAUACAAGGCAGACGGCUCAGUAACACGUAGUCAACCUACCCUAUGGACAAGAAUAAUCUCGGGAAACUGGGCAUAAUUCUUGAUAGAUCAUAAUGCCUGGAAUGGUUUAUGGUUAAAAUGAUUCGUCGCCAUAGGAUGGGACUGCGGCCUAUCAGCUUGUUGGUGAGGUAAUGGCCCACCAAGGCGAUUACAGGUACGGGCUCUGAGAGGAGAAGCCCGGAGAUGGGUACUGAGACACGGACCCAGGCCCUAUGGGGCGCAGCAGGCGAGAAAACUUUGCAAUGUGCGAAAGCACGACAAGGUUAAUCCGAGUGAUUUCUGCUAAAGAAAUCUUUUGCCAGUCGUAAAACCGCUGGUGAAUAAGGGGUGGGCAAGUUCUGGUGUCAGCCGCCGCGGUAAAACCAGCACCUCAAGUGGUCAGGAUGAUUAUUGGGCCUAAGGCAUCCGUAGCCGGCUUUGUUAGUUUUCGGUUAAAUCCAUGUGCUCAACGCAUGGGCUGCCGAAAAUACUGCAUAGCUAGGGAGUGGGAGAGGUAGACGGUACUCAGUAGGAAGGGGUAAAAUCCUUUGAUCUAUUGAUGACCACCUGUGGCGAAGGCGGUCUACCAGAACACGUUCGACGGUGAGGGAUGAAAGCUGGGGGAGCAAACCGGAUUAGAUACCCGGGUAGUCCCAGCUGUAAACGAUGCAGACUCGAUGAUGCAUUGGCAUAAUAGCCAGUGCAG
RNAcentral lists this ribosomal RNA (749 nucleotides) under uncultured prokaryote. Its description in RNAcentral is "bacterial SSU rRNA". It matches the Rfam family "Archaeal small subunit ribosomal RNA", at positions 44 to 798 of the family's 1478-position model. The record is from RNAcentral.